GAUGAACGCUAGCUACAGGCUUAACACAUGCAAGUCGAGGGGAAACGAUAUUGGAAGCUUGCUUCUGAUAGGCGUCGACCGGCGCACGGGUGAGUAACGCGUAUCCAACCUGCCCAUCACUUGGGGAUAACCUUGUGAAAGUAAGACUAAUACCCAAUGACGUCUCUAGAAGACAUCUGAAAGAGAUUAAAGAUUUAUCGGUGAUGGAUGGGGAUGCGUCUGAUUAGCUUGUUGGCGGGGUAACGGCCCACCAAGGCGACGAUCAGUAGGGGUUCUGAGAGGAAGGUCCCCCCACAUUGGAACUGAGACACGGUCCAAAACUCCUACGGGAGGCAGCAGUGAGGAAUAUUUGGGUCAAAUGGGACGAGAGUCUGAACCAGCCAAGUAGCGUGCAGGAUGACGGCCCUAUGGGUUGUAAACUGCUUUUAUAAGGGAAUAAAGUGGGAGUCGUGACUCUUUUUGCAUGUACCUUAUGAAUAAGGACCGGCUAAUUCCGUGCCAGCAG
This 505-nucleotide ribosomal RNA is filed under the name uncultured bacterium. RNAcentral describes it as "bacterial SSU rRNA". It matches the Rfam family "Bacterial small subunit ribosomal RNA", at positions 28 to 514 of the family's 1533-position model. The record is from RNAcentral.